GCCUUCGUGGUGUAACGGUAGCACACUCGGCGCGUAUUCGUGAGGUCCAGGUUCGAGUCCCGCCGAGGGCU
RNAcentral lists this transfer RNA (71 nucleotides) under Stegodyphus mimosarum. It matches the Rfam family "tRNA". Rfam says of the family: Transfer RNA (tRNA) molecules are approximately 80 nucleotides in length. The record is from Rfam by way of RNAcentral. Lineage: Eukaryota; Metazoa; Arthropoda; Arachnida; Araneae; Eresidae.